Stegastes partitus (bicolor damselfish) is the source of this 127-nucleotide long non-coding RNA. RefSeq lists it as uncharacterized. The record is from RefSeq and is a predicted model, not a curated record. NCBI's taxonomy places the organism in Eukaryota, Metazoa, Chordata, Actinopteri, Pomacentridae. The transcript has 3 exons.
CAGGUUCAGUGUCUUGCCCAAGGACACUUCGACUGUGGAGAGGCGGGGGAUUGAACCGCCAACCUUGCCACUGGAGGACAACCAGCUCUACCACCGGAGCCACAGCCGCCCGAAUUGUGUGCUGUGU